This is a long non-coding RNA of Homo sapiens (human), 1783 nucleotides long. Lineage: Eukaryota; Metazoa; Chordata; Mammalia; Primates; Hominidae. The record is from Ensembl.
GGAGGUUGGAGGACAGGCCAAUCGCUCCCAGCUAUUUGAGCCAAUGGAGAAGUUCCUGAUGCCCACACCUGCUGGUCUCACCGCUAGGGCCUGGGCAUCACAGGCAGGGGGAAUGGGGAGGGGACGGUAGCGUCAGCCUACACCCACACGCAGUUUCCUGAUAAAAGGUCCUUUGGAAACUUUGAUUCUCUUCUCACCAAGUUGAACGGAGAUGUGUUCCCAUAGUAAGAGUGAGGCCCCUGCAUUUGCUGCCCUCGGUUUUCCCAACUAACACCAGGGCCUCCCCCCUGUACCCCAUUCAUAUGCCUCAGAAGCUGACAAUGACUGUUGGGCUUUUCCAAUGAAUACCAGAACACCAUUUCCUGCAGCCUGAAAAGAAGACAGUAUAAUUGUUUGGCAGCAAGAGAAUCCAGGUGCCCUUCCAUGAGAAGCCCAAGCCAUGUGGAGAAGCCACGUCUAGGGACUCCAGUUAACACUCUCAGCUGAGUCCCCAGCUGACAGUCAGCAUCAACUGCCAGCCACCUCUGUCUAAAAGUGGGCUAUCUUGGGCAUCCAGCCCAGUCAAGCCUUCAGAUGAGUCCAGUCCCAGCCACUAUCUCACACAACCACACGAGAGACAUCAAGAACUCCCAGUGGAGUCCAGUCAGCCCAUGGAACUGCAAGAGACAGGAUCUCGCUGCGUUGCUCAGACUGGUCUCGAACUCCUGGGCUUAAGGGAUUCUCCUGCCUCAAUCACAGCCUCCCAAGUAGCUGAGAUUAAAAGUGCUCACCACCGUGCCAGCGAGUUCAGUUUUUGAGGGUGGAGCCAAGACUCUGAGGAGAGGGCUGAACUGUGAACCUAGAAGUACCAUCUCCCCCUGCACACACCUUUGGUCAAGUUGACCCCAAGAAGAAGGACAAGUCCUCUGCACGGCGAUGAGGCCAUACACACAGUCUGUGGCCCGGCUUUGGGAGACUGAUGGGACAAAGGAUGUUUUGCACGAUCCUUGGUCUCUGAGCAAAUAUAUACAUGGGUUAACACAAAGGCUCUCUUUUUGAAAAAUGUGACUGUGAAAGUGUGCCCUCCCAGAUAUUCCAGGCAUAACACAGGAGUGACUGCAUGUUUGGGGACAGUGCGGAGGCCACUCUGAUUAGAUCAGAGGAUGUGGACUGGUUCAUGAUGUAAAAGCUGAAGGGAGGCCGGGCACAGUGGCUCACGCCUGUAAUCCUAGCACUUUGGGAGGCCAAGGUGGGUGGAUCACGAGGUCAGGAGAUCGAGACCAUCCUGGCUAACAAGGUGAAACCCCGUCUCUACUAAAAAUACAAAAAUUAGCCAGGCGUGGUGGCAGGCGCCUGUAGUCCCAGCUACUGGGGAGGCUGAGUACUGGGGAGGCUGAGGCAGGAGAAUGACGUGAACCUGGGAGGCAGAGCUUGCAGUGAGCUGAGAUCGCGCCACUGCACUCCAGCCUGGGCAACAAAGCGAGACGCUGUCUCAAAAAAAAAAAAUGCUGAAGGGAGGGUGGUAAUGAAGGGAAGAAGACUCCAGGGUUUCAAGUGCCAUGGAUUAAGGGAGGGAGUAAAGGCAGAGGGCCAGGACAGAUGGUUGGAUCUGUCUUAGAGGUGAGGUACCUUCAAGAUGCCUCAGGGAAAAUGGCCAGUAGUCCAUCAGGACUCAAGAGUAAGACUCCAGGAAGACACUUGAAAUGGGAAGAGAGCUAAGAAAAUAAUCCACAUAGAGGUGAUCAUUAAAGGCGUAAAGAAUAAAGCAAUAACGUAAAAAAAAAAAAAAAAAAAAAAAAAAAAA